UUUAUGGAGAGUUUGAUCCUGGCUCAGGACGAACGCUGGCGGCGUGCUUAACACAUGCAAGUCGAACGGAAAUAAAGGAGCUUGCUCCUUUAAAUUAGUGGCGAACGGGUGAGUAACACGUGGGCAACCUGCCCCUGACUCUGGGAUAACUACUCGAAAGAGUAGCUAAUACCGGAUAUGAAACCUGAAGACAUCUUCGGGUUUGGAAAGUUUUUCGGUCAGGGAUGGGCCCGCGGCCUAUCAGCUAGUUGGUGAGGUAGUGGCUCACCAAGGCGACGACGGGUAGCCGGCCUGAGAGGGCGACCGGCCACACUGGGACUGAGACACGGCCCAGACUCCUACGGGAGGCAGCAGUGGGGAAU
This 362-nucleotide ribosomal RNA is filed under the name Actinomycetes bacterium. RNAcentral describes it as "bacterial SSU rRNA". It matches the Rfam family "Bacterial small subunit ribosomal RNA", at positions 1 to 362 of the family's 1533-position model. The record is from RNAcentral. Lineage: Bacteria; Bacillati; Actinomycetota; Actinomycetes.